This 390-nucleotide unclassified non-coding RNA is filed under the name uncultured fungus. Its description in RNAcentral is "partial contains 5.8S ribosomal RNA, internal transcribed spacer 2, and large subunit ribosomal RNA". Lineage: Eukaryota; Fungi. The record is from RNAcentral.
AACGCACCUUGCACCGUAUGAGUCAAAUUGUACGGUAUACCUGUUUGAGAAUCGUAAAAACCCAUUCCCCCUACCUUGUGUUGGUGGUGGGAGACUUGUCGGUUGUUGCACUCUAUGCGGGCGUGUAUGCGCGCACGUGUAAGGCGACUCUGAUUAAAGGCAGUAGGUUUGGACUGGGCUGGUGGCCUGGGACAUUGUGUGCUAGAGACUGGUCGGUUAGACCGCGUCUUCUCACGAUGCGUCCCGGGUCAAUCAAGCUGGCCCGUGUUCUGGACCUUGACAGUGUACACACGCGUAUUGCGCCUUCACAGUCGUGCUUGUGCUAUGCGCCGUGGACACAACCCCCCCUAUUUUGAUCUCAAAUCAGGUAAGGCUACCCGCUGAACUUAA